RNAcentral lists this ribosomal RNA (301 nucleotides) under uncultured bacterium. Its description in RNAcentral is "partial 16S ribosomal RNA". It matches the Rfam family "Bacterial small subunit ribosomal RNA", at positions 509 to 807 of the family's 1533-position model. The record is from RNAcentral.
CAGCCGCCGCGGUAAUACGUAGGGCGCAAGCGUUGUCCGGAAUUAUUGGGCGUAAAGAGCUCGUAGGCGGUCUGUCGCGUCUGGUGUGAAAUCCCGAGGCUCAACCUCGGGCUUGCAUCGGGUACGGGCAGACUAGAGUGCGGUAGGGGAGACUGGAAUUCCUGGUGUAGCGGUGGAAUGCGCAGAUAUCAGGAGGAACACCAACGGCGAAAGCACUCUGCUGGGCCGACACUGACACUGAGAGACGAAAGCUAGGGGAGCAAAUGGGAUUAGAUACCCCGGUAGUCCCUGUCUCUUAUAC